This 400-nucleotide ribosomal RNA is filed under the name uncultured bacterium. RNAcentral's name for it is "bacterial SSU rRNA". It matches the Rfam family "Bacterial small subunit ribosomal RNA", at positions 28 to 423 of the family's 1533-position model. The record is from RNAcentral.
GACGAACGCUGGCGGCGUGCUUAACACAUGCAAGUGGAGCGACGAACCAGGCUUCGGCCUGGGGCAAAGCCGCGAACGGGUGAGUAACACGUGGGUAGCCUGCCCCGACGAUCGGGACAACCCGGGGAAACUCGGGCUAAUACCGAAUAUGCUCUUCCCACACCAGUGGGAUGCGUAAAGGAAGCUUCGGCCUCCGCAUCGGGAUGGGCCCGCGGCCCAUUAGCUUGUGUGAGGUAACGGCUCACCAAGGCUGCGAUGGGUAGCUGGUCUGAGAGGACGAUCAGCCACACUGGGACGUGAGACACGGCCCAGACUCCUACGGGAGGGCAGCAGUGGGGAAUCUUGCGCAAUGCGCGAAAGCGUGACGCAGCAACGCCGCGUGGGGGAAGAAGGCCUCGGU